This 250-nucleotide ribosomal RNA is filed under the name uncultured bacterium. RNAcentral describes it as "partial 16S ribosomal RNA". It matches the Rfam family "Bacterial small subunit ribosomal RNA", at positions 524 to 773 of the family's 1533-position model. The record is from RNAcentral.
UACGUAGGUGGCAAGCGUUGUCCGGAUUUAUUGGGCGUAAAGCGAGCGCAGGCGGUUUCUUAAGUCUGAUGUGAAAGCCCCCGGCUUAACCGGGGAGGGUCAUUGGAAACUGAGAGACUUGAAUGCAGGAGAGGUAAGUGGAAUUCCACGUGUAGCGGUGAAAUGCGUAGAUAUGUGGAGGAACACCAGUGGCGAAGGCGGCUUACUGGCCUGUAAUUGACGCUGAGGCUCGAAAGCGUGGGGAGCAAAC